RNAcentral lists this ribosomal RNA (390 nucleotides) under Triticum aestivum (bread wheat). Its description in RNAcentral is "partial small subunit ribosomal RNA". Lineage: Eukaryota; Viridiplantae; Streptophyta; Magnoliopsida; Poales; Poaceae. The record is from RNAcentral.
AUGGCAUUGAUUGUCUAUGUGCAGAUGUCAUCAGAUAGUGAUAGUGAUGAUGACAAUAGUUAUGAAACAAUGAGGAAUUUGGUUAUGCAUCAACAACAUAAUAUGGACAUGCUUUGUUCUGGUGUGGCGGUCAUAUUUGGCAAGUAUUGUGAAAGUUGGGUGAUGAAGACCGAGCCUAGGAAAUCUAUUUUGAGUGGAUUUGGAUGGCUUCAAGAGACUAUUGCUACACCGGGAGAGACCUACACAAUGUUGAGAAUGACGGCAAGUGUGCUCUUUGAUCUUCAUGACUUGUUGGUACGUAAUUAUGGUCUAAAAGAGACAAGCUUUGUUAGCACUUACGAGUCUCUUGCUAUGUUCUUGUGGACAUUGGGAGGUUGUGAGUCAAAUUGA